CACUGCGGGGCGCACGGACCCGCGCACGGUCAGUCCCUGGCCGGGGCGGACGCGCGGCUGCGGGGCUCCAGCGCCUCCAGUAGAUGAGGCGCUCUGGGAGGGCAGGGGCCUGUCCCACCCGCUCUGGGCCCUGCUCCAGCCCCGGCCUGUGCUGAAUCGAGAACGGCACGCUCUCUGUGUCUCCACCACCCCCUGCCCUCUCGCCUCCAGCCAUGGCGCCCCUGCUCGCCCUGUUGCUGGUGGCCCUGGUGGGCCUGCCUGUGGCCCAGGCUCUGGAGUGCCACGUGUGUGCCUACGAAGGAGAGAACUGCUUCAACCCCAUGCCCUGCCCGGCCAUGGUCGCCUACUGCAUGACCACGCGCACUUACUACACUCAGACCAAGAUGAAGGUGAGCAAGUCCUGCGUGCCCAGAUGCUUCGAGACCGUGUACGACGGCUACUCCAAGCACGCGUCCACCACGUCCUGCUGCCAGUACGACCUCUGCAACGGCGCUGGCCUCACGGCGCCCGCGACCCUGGCCCUGGCCCUCAUACUCCUGGCCACCCUCUGGGGUCUCCUCUAAAGCCCUGUCCCGCCUCCGCAGACUGUCCAGCACAAAGCUCUGAGCAGCACGGACCCCACCCUCUGCCCUCCCAGACCCCCCAGCCACACCCAGGACUGUCUGCAAGAGAACCCGACCUCCCCUGGCCACCCUGGGGUCAGCUUCCAGGUCACGACCUGUUACUUCCAAAAGGCUCUUGUGGGACCACGCCUCCUGAGGCAUCUGUCCAAGGAUGGGGUGCAGGCAGAGUGUGCUGUCGGGGAGGCUUCGGUCGGCCCAGACCACUGAUUCGAAGGCGCCCUCUGCCGCGUCUGCCCUGAAGCUGUGCUGGAGGGGGAGGCGAGAUGAGGGACCCAGGGGUGGUGGACAGUGGUAGGACGAAGGCUCUCCAAGGCCCCAAAGGGGCUGUCUCUGUGUCCCUGACUGAGGCGGGAGCUGCCCAGGGCAGGUGUGGCAUGGGGGCUGAGCCACGAAGGCCUGUGUCCCCGUUGGCUGUCCCGGGGAGGGUGCCAGCCUCUGUCCAGUGGCCUGUGGCCGGGGACGGCGUAGGUCCGCCUAAAGAGACCUUCCAGCCCCAGGAGUGGAUUCUGGGUCCAGUGCGGGGGUCUGUCCCUUCUUACUCAGCCAGACCCUUGACCUUCCCCCUCCCCACCCAGCACUGGGCGGCCGCAGGACAGGCCAGGCUAUAUUUGGUCAAGCCUGAGAGCUGAGCCCAGGGCUAUUUUGGGCCAGGAAAGAAGGGAGCAGUGUGGCGGCUGCGGAGGCCUGGCCUUUAGUCCCAUAGCAGGUCCUGGCAGAGUAGAGCCUUUACGGGGGUGGUGGUGGGGGAAACCACCUCGGGGGCGCCAGAGAGGAUUCUGCCAGAGAGGAUUCUUCCCCUCCUCCCACAAGUCGGACAGUCCCCCCGGUGGGGACGGAGGGCACAUCCUCGAACUGGAGCGGGGCGCCCUCUCGUGGCUGCCUGGGGUGGCGCUGGGCAGGGGCAGGCUGGGCCUGGGGGACGGAGCAGGAGGGGGCGGCGGGGAGGGGGGAGUGGAUCCGGAUGGAAGGGAGGGGGAUCGGGGUCAAGAAAGGGGGGGUGCGCACCCCUCGCCCCCUCCUGAGGAGUGACCAUUGUCCCGCCACCUGCAGCAGGCCCCUGUGCUCUGGCCUGCGGGCCCCGCCGGCAUCCUGAACAAGCGGUGGUGCACCGGCCUUGGCCUCCAGGUCUGCUCCAUCCGGAGGGUUGCCAAGGGCCCUGCAAGCUCCACCUCAGGGAGGGGCUCUCAGGAGCCCCCAUGCCAGCUGGGCAUUGGGAUCCCCAGGGACCCAGGCAUGGGCGUUAUUUAAGGGGCACCCACCCAUGGUGAGGCUGGGGAGGCACAGGUGUGUCCAGGGAGCCCAACCCUCCUUCUUGUGAGACCGGACAUGACACGCAGCCACUUUUCUGGGGUCACGCAGCACCAGAGGCCUCCUCACCUGACCACUGCCCCAGUUCCAGUGUUCACAGAGGAGCCCAAGUGGGUGAAACGGUGGCAGGUGCCCAUGUGGGGGGUGGUUCUAGAACUUAGAAGCCCUGGGCCCCGAAGGGUGGCCCUUGUCAGAGGGACCUGUGCUGGAAGUUCCCUCCUGAGAGCUUCCCCCAGGACUGUCAGGCCCCCAGGGAUGGGGACGCUCUGGCAGCCCGGGUCGGGGUCCUUAGGGGCUGGCAGCGUGCUCUGCCCAGACAGCAGGCCUGGUGUCCCGUCCCCCUGAGGCCGGCCAGGUGUGAGUCCCUCCUCAGGGGAAGCUGGGAGGAAGGCAGACCCCACCCCUGGCCCUCAGGAGCGAGUCCCCUUGGAGCUGGCUGCAGGGCCAGUGCAGAUGUAGGUGCCAGCGGGAGGGCGGGCAGCCUGCCCUCCUGACUCAGUGGGCGGGGCCUGGGAAGCGGUCACCACCCUGCUUGUGCAAGCACUCCGUCCUGGUCGUCCGUCCCUCCCUCUGGUCCCAGUGGGCGAUGGCGCUGAGCCCUGCCUGGCCACCUGUGGGCUGUGGGGUCACUAAGAGCAGGGAUCCAGUGGGAGCUGCAGGUGCACAGUGUUGGGCGGGGUGCUUCUCACACCUGCCUCCUGCAUCUGUCCAUCCAUCCUACACCCUGACCUGGUCCCCCCCAGCACCGGGGACCAUGCUGCCCACCCCACCCCCCUAGAGCAGGUUCUGCCAGGCCAGGCUGUCCCUGCGUCCCGCACAGAGCACACGAAGGUGCUCGGCUCAGGCCGGGCCGGGCCUCCCAGUGGGAGGUGCGCUGCACUGUCAGGGGACUCGGCUGCAGCGCCCCUGGCAAUCAGAGUCAGUUUGUACCUACUGUCUGUCAGUGCAGUUCCCCCGACAGCCCUGCAAGGUAGGAGCUGUCAUCAAGCCCCUUUCACAGAUGAGGAAACAGAGGCACAGAGGGGGCGGGGUAGCCCAAGGUGGGCUGGACUCCUUGUCCGCUGCCCCGCUGUGCAGUCCCUUCUCCCGUCAGCUACGGGAGGGAGGGGAGGCUGGGAAGGUGGGUUUAUAAGUUUAAGAGAACUUUAGCAUGUUAAAUAUAAUACCUUAGGGUCAGAAAAGCUCAGGAGGUUUGGGAAGCCAUGAAGGCCAGACUCAGGGUGUCCAGCCGAGUGCCAGGCCAGGGGUGGCAUAGCAGAGAGGGGACAGAGGGGCGCCAGGUGCCCCAUCUGCAUCAGGACCAAGGAUCGUGGUAGGGAGAGGCCCAGGUUCCUCCCGGGAGCCGGCCUCUGUGUCUCGGGAGUGGCGGCUCGACCCUGACGGCCCCUCCUGUGGAGCCUUGUAUUCUGCGUUGGCCUGGAAUCAGCCAAGAGGCUGGCACCACAGCAUCGAGCUGGGGUCAGGGUCGGGUCUGGCCAUCACGAGGAAGGUGUGGUGCGCCGGCUGCUGGUGCCCUGGUGCCACAGGGCGGGGAGGGGCACAGCCCCGCCCACCUCCCUUUGCCGCGAGUGUCUGAUGGGUGGUGAUGAGUGUGUAUUUUCUUCCUGAUUCUAAACUUCGGAAAAAGUGAAAAGCAACUGAGAGGCCUCUUUCUUUUUCGUGCUCCCGCCGCCCUGAGCAGCUUGUCAGAUCCUAAAGCUCGGGCUGAUCUGGAGCUGGUCCUUCGCGUCUCUGAGCCUGGCUGUCUGGCUAAGGAAGUGGGGACGAUGGCGCCUACCAAGCUGGGGCCCAGACGGAACGAGGCUGCGGGUGUCAGUGCCCAGCCUGGGCCUGGCGCACCGGAGGCCCCCGAUGGACAGCGGAUGGGGAGGGGUCUUGUCCCUUCCAGGCCCCUUCCCUGGUGCUGGCACUCCCGAGGGUGCUGCCCCUGCCAGUGGCUGAUGCCAGCCCCAGGCCCUAACCCUCCUGGGGCAGGAUUCACCUUCAGGCCACAUCUUCACCCUUGCUCACAGCAUCGCCCCAGCGAGGUCUGCGUCGUAUCUCCAGCAGGUGGAUACAGAUGCUGUGCCUCCCUAUGUCCCUACGGGCUCCGCCAGUGUGAUCUGGUUUGGCUGGUCCUGCUGGCUCUGUCCGUCUCUCAGCCCCUGGCCACUCUGGCUCAUCUGGUCUUUGACCAUGGAGCCAGCCCUGGCCAGAGUGGGGGAGGGGAGCCAGCAGGAGAGGCAGGGGUCCCUGGAAGCCGCCCCAGGUGGGAGCAAGGUGACACCCCCCCCCGGGGAAGGCUGGUAGGGCCGGGGACGCAAGCAGGGCCCCAGGAAUGCACCCCACUCCCCAGCUCUCGCUUCAUGUCCCAGCUCUUCUCUGCCUGGGAGCAGGGUCUGGGUGGGCACAGCCCAAGAGCCCACCAGACAGAGGGCCAGACGAAGCCACUCAAGCCACCAGAGCAGACACAGCACGGUCCCUGGGCCAGCAGGGCUGAGGGCUGACCCCCUUCCAAGGGUCACCUGCACUGCCCCCGUGGGACCCC
RNAcentral lists this long non-coding RNA (4458 nucleotides) under Sus scrofa (pig). Its description in RNAcentral is "lncRNA (ENSSSCG00060004781.1)". Lineage: Eukaryota; Metazoa; Chordata; Mammalia; Artiodactyla; Suidae. The record is from RNAcentral.